Molecule: ribosomal RNA, 362 nt
Filed under: uncultured fungus
Lineage: Eukaryota; Fungi
Description: eukaryotic LSU rRNA
Rfam family: Eukaryotic large subunit ribosomal RNA
Source: RNAcentral
AUAUCAAUAAGCGGAGGAAAAGAAACCAACAGGGAUUGCCUCAGUAACGGCGAGUGAAGCGGCAACAGCUCAAAUUUGAAAUCUGGCCCUUCUGGGGUCCGAGUUGUAAUUCGUAGAAGAUGCUUCGGGUGUGGCUCCGGUCUAAGUUCCUUGGAACAGGACGUCAUAGAGGGUGAGAAUCCCGUAUGUGACUGGCAGCCUUCGCCCAUGUGAAGCUCUUUCGACGAGUCGAGUUGUUUGGGAAUGCAGCUCAAAAUGGGUGGUAAAUUUCAUCUAAAGCUAAAUAUUGGCGAGAGACCGAUAGCGAACAAGUACCGUGAGGGAAAGAUGAAAAGAACUUUGAAAAGAGAGUUAAACAGUAG